UAGGCUUAAACUCCUUGUGCUUGAUUCUCUUAUCAUGCCAUCGUUUUGUUCUCUCUUUAUAGAUCCUUGAAUUGUGGUAGGCUUUCUCUCUCCAUUCUUCUAGCUCAGAUAGUUGCAUCAGACGAUUCUUGCUAGCGAGGUGGAGAUCCAUGUUCCAUUUCUUGAGUGCCCAAUGAGCCUUAAACUCUACUUCCACAGGCAAGUGACAAGUUUUUCCAUAUACAAGUUGAUAAGGUGACAUGCCUAUGGGUGUUUUGAAUGCAGUUCUAUAUGCCCAAAGUGCAUCAGAAAGUUUGUCCUUCCACCCCUUACCCA
RNAcentral lists this long non-coding RNA (315 nucleotides) under Sorghum bicolor (sorghum). RNAcentral describes it as "long non-coding RNA (SBIC_LNC011997)". Lineage: Eukaryota; Viridiplantae; Streptophyta; Magnoliopsida; Poales; Poaceae. The record is from RNAcentral.